CUAUACUGCAAGUCGAACGAAACUUUCUUACACCGAAUGCUUGCAUUCACCGUAAGAAGUUGAGUGGCGGACGGGUGAGUAACACGUGGGUAACCUGCCUAAAAGAAGGGGAUAACACUUGGAAACAGGUGCUAAUACCGUAUAUCUCUAAGGAUCGCAUGAUCCUUAGAUGAAAGAUGGUUCUGCUAUCGCUUUUAGAUGGACCCGCGGCGUAUUAACUAGUUGGUGGGGUAACGGCCUACCAAGGUGAUGAUACGUAGCCGAACUGAGAGGUUGAUCGGCCACAUUGGGACUGAGACACGGCCCAAACUCCUACGGGAGGCAGCAGUAGGGAAUCUUCCACAAUGGACGCAAGUCUGAUGGAGCAACGCCGCGUGAGUGAAGAAGGUCUUCGGAUCGUAAAACUCUGUUGUUAGAGAAGAACACGAGUGAGAGUAACUGUUCAUUCGAUGACGGUAUCUAACCAGCAAGUCACGGCUAACUACGUGCCAGCAGCCGCGGUAAUACGUAGGUGGCAAGCGUUGUCCGGAUUUAUUGGGCGUAAAGGGAACGCAGGCGGUCUUUUAAGUCUGAUGUGAAAGCCUUCGGCUUAACCGGAGUAGUGCAUUGGAAACUGGAAGACUUGAGUGCAGAAGAGGAGAGUGGAACUCCAUGUGUAGCGGUGAAAUGCGUAGAUAUAUGGAAGAACACCAGUGGCGAAAGCGGCUCUCUGAUCUGAUACUGACGCUGAAGCUCCAAAGCGUGGGUAGCAAACAGGAUUAGAUACCCUGGUAGUCCACGCCGUAAACGAUGAAUGCUAGGUGUUGGAGGGUUUCCGCCCUUCAGUGCCGCAGCUAACGCAAUAAG
This 846-nucleotide ribosomal RNA is filed under the name Ligilactobacillus salivarius. Its description in RNAcentral is "bacterial SSU rRNA". It matches the Rfam family "Bacterial small subunit ribosomal RNA", at positions 49 to 864 of the family's 1533-position model. Lineage: Bacteria; Bacillati; Bacillota; Bacilli; Lactobacillales; Lactobacillaceae. The record is from RNAcentral.